GUCGGUCCUCGGUAGUGGCCCUCGAAGGGAUUCGCGCCCAGCGCGAGAACCCGGGGGCCUCGAUCGAAGACCGCC
Molecule: non-coding RNA, 75 nt
Submitted as: unclassified sequences
Source: Rfam